UAAGGAACCUUUUCUAAAGUAAACGAAAAC
RNAcentral lists this non-coding RNA (30 nucleotides) under Rattus norvegicus (Norway rat). Lineage: Eukaryota; Metazoa; Chordata; Mammalia; Rodentia; Muridae. The record is from RNAcentral.